Molecule: ribosomal RNA, 697 nt
Filed under: Cryobacterium sp. Y4_348_6
Lineage: Bacteria; Bacillati; Actinomycetota; Actinomycetes; Micrococcales; Microbacteriaceae
Description: bacterial SSU rRNA
Rfam family: Bacterial small subunit ribosomal RNA
Source: RNAcentral
GCAGUCGACGGUGAAGAGGAGCUUGCUCCUUGGAUCAGUGGCGAACGGGUGAGUAACACGUGAGCAAUCUGCCCUUGACUCUGGGAUAACUGCGGGAAACUGUAGCUAAUACCGGAUAUUACCUUGGAAGGCAUCUUCUGGGGUGGAAAGAAUUUUGGUCAAGGAUGAGCUCGCGGCCUAUCAGCUAGUUGGUGAGGUAAUGGCUCACCAAGGCGACGACGGGUAGCCGGCCUGAGAGGGUGACCGGCCACACUGGGACUGAGACACGGCCCAGACUCCUACGGGAGGCAGCAGUGGGGAAUAUUGCACAAUGGGCGCAAGCCUGAUGCAGCAACGCCGCGUGAGGGACGAAGGCCUUCGGGUUGUAAACCUCUUUUAGUAGGGAAGAAGCGACUGGGUUUUCCUGGGAGUGACGGUACCUGCAGAAAAAGCACCGGCUAACUACGUGCCAGCAGCCGCGGUAAUACGUAGGGUGCAAGCGUUGUCCGGAAUUAUUGGGCGUAAAGAGCUCGUAGGCGGUUUGUCGCGUCUGCUGUGAAAACCCGAGGCUCAACCUCGGGCCUGCAGUGGGUACGGGCAGACUAGAGUGCGGUAGGGGAGAUUGGAAUUCCUGGUGUAGCGGUGGAAUGCGCAGAUAUCAGGAGGAACACCAAUGGCGAAGGCAGAUCUCUGGGCCGUAACUGACGCUGAGGAGCGA